Molecule: ribosomal RNA, 253 nt
Filed under: uncultured bacterium
Lineage: Bacteria
Description: partial 16S ribosomal RNA
Rfam family: Bacterial small subunit ribosomal RNA
Source: RNAcentral
UACGAAGGGGGCUAGCGUUGCUCGGAAUCACUGGGCGUAAAGGGUGCGUAGGCGGCCAACUAAGUCAGACGUGAAAUCCCUCGGCUUAACCGGGGAACUGCAUCUGAUACUGGAUGGCUUGAGAUUGGGAGAGGGAUGCGGAAUUCCAGGUGUAGCGGUGAAAUGCGUAGAUAUCUGGAGGAACACCGGUGGCGAAGGCGGCAUCCUGGACCAACACUGACGCUGAGGAGCGAAAGCCAGGGGAGCAAACGGG